CACUGCCGCGUGAGCGAUGACGGCCUUCGGGUCGUAAAGCUCUGUUGUUAGGGAAGAACAGUAUCGGAGUAACUGCCGGUACCUUGACGGUACCUAACCAGAAAGCCACGGCUAACUACGUGCCCCAGCCGCGGUAAUACGUAGGUGGCAAGCGUUGUCCGGAAUUAUUGGGCGUAAAGCGCGCGCAGGCGGUCCUUUAAGUCUGAUGUGAAAGCCCACGGCUCAACCGUGGAGGGUCAUUGGAAACUGGGGGACUUGAGUGAGGAAGAGGAAAGCGGAAUUCCACGUGUAGCGGUGAAAUGCGUAGAGAUGUGGAGGAACACCCGUGGGGAAGGCGGCUUUCUGGUCUUAACUGACGCUGAGGCGCGAAAGCGAGGGGAGCAAACAGGAUUAGAUGCCCUGGUAGUCCACGCCGUAAAAGAUGAGUGCUAACUGUAAAAGGGUUUCCCCCCUUUACUGCUGCAUCAAACGCAUUAACCGCUCCGCCUGGGGAGUACAGUCGCAAGGCUGAAACUCAAAGGAAUUGACGG
RNAcentral lists this ribosomal RNA (530 nucleotides) under uncultured Bacillus sp. Its description in RNAcentral is "bacterial SSU rRNA". It matches the Rfam family "Bacterial small subunit ribosomal RNA", at positions 392 to 916 of the family's 1533-position model. The record is from RNAcentral. Lineage: Bacteria; Bacillati; Bacillota; Bacilli; Caryophanales; Bacillaceae.